Molecule: long non-coding RNA, 680 nt
Organism: Peromyscus californicus insignis
Lineage: Eukaryota; Metazoa; Chordata; Mammalia; Rodentia; Cricetidae
Exons: 3
Source: RefSeq, a predicted model, not a curated record
GAGAAGGAAAGCGGGGCGCAGAUCGGCCUGAGGUCAGUUCGCCCCACCCACCGUGCCCCGGAACGCCCCCUGAGGAGCUGACCAAUGGGAAGGCAGAGAUCUUCGUGACAUCAUGGGUCACCGGCAGACUUCACCAGGCCCUAGCGCCCCCCUCGUCUCCUCCUGUGGGGUUCCUGCCGCCACCUGGUGGCCUCUGAGGGGAAGGUGCAACGUGACCAGCUGCCCCAUGUACCUGCUGCCAUGACGUUGGCAGACUAUACCUUCACACGGUGAGUUCAUGGGCAUUCUGCACAUCGGAAUGGGACAUGCAGUCACACAACUCACUCCAGUCCCUGCGGCGUCUAGACUGGAGUCUGCUGCGUGAGUCAGAUGCCAAACUUGUGCUCUGAAUGACCGCACACAUCACCCCAACCCAACGUGGUGCCUGCCUGCAAUCCUACCACUGAGAGUCCAAGGCUUGCCUGGACAAUGUAGUUGGCGUCCAAGCCAGCUGGGGCUAUGGAAUACGAUGGUCUCAAAAGCAAGCCAAGAGCUGGGAGAUAUAAUCUCCCUUUGUAAAGCGCUUGCUUUGCAGACACAAGGAACUGAGUGUGAGCCUCAGAGCACACGUUUAAAGAAAAUAAAAGCCGGGCGGUGGUGGCGCACGCCUUUAAUCCCAGCACUCUGGAGGCAGAGUCAGG